UGGGGAAUAUUGGACAAUGGGCGCAAGCCUGAUCCAGCCAUGCCGCGUGAGUGAUGAAGGCCCUAGGGUUGUAAAGCUCUUUCAGCGAGGAGGAUAAUGACGUUACUCGCAGAAGAAGCCCCGGCUAACUUCGUGCCAGCAGCCGCGGUAAUACGAAGGGGGCUAGCGUUGUUCGGAAUCACUGGGCGUAAAGCGCACGUAGGCGGACUUUUAAGUCAGGGGUGAAAUCCCGGGGCUCAACCUCGGAACUGCCUUUGAUACUGGAAGUCUGGAGUCCGAGAGAGGUGAGUGGAACUCCGAGUGUAGAGGUGAAAUUCGUAGAUAUUCGGAAGAACACCAGUGGCGAAGGCGGCUCACUGGCUCGGUACUGACGCUGAGGUGCGAAAGCGUGGGGAGCAAAACAGGAUUAGAUACCCUGGUAGUCCACGCCGUAAAACGAUGGAAGCUAGCCGUCAGGGUGCAUGCAUCUUGGUGGCGCAGUUAACGCAUUAAGCUUCCCGCCUGGGGAGUACGGUCGCAAGAUUAAAAACUUAAAUGAAUUGAC
This 544-nucleotide ribosomal RNA is filed under the name uncultured bacterium. RNAcentral's name for it is "partial 16S ribosomal RNA". It matches the Rfam family "Bacterial small subunit ribosomal RNA", at positions 355 to 914 of the family's 1533-position model. The record is from RNAcentral.